RNAcentral lists this ribosomal RNA (1340 nucleotides) under uncultured bacterium. Its description in RNAcentral is "partial 16S ribosomal RNA". It matches the Rfam family "Bacterial small subunit ribosomal RNA", at positions 28 to 1381 of the family's 1533-position model. The record is from RNAcentral.
GAUGAACGCUGGCGGCGCGCCUAACACAUGCAAGUCGAACGGUUAAGGCGCCCUUCGGGGCGCGAAUAGAGUGGCGAACGGCUGAGUAACACGUGGGCAACCUGCCCCCCGCACCGGGACAGCCUCGGGAAACCGUGGGUAAUACCGGGUACUCCGCCACCCCCGCAUGGGGGAGGCGGGAGAGCGUAUGCGGCGGGGGAUGGGCCCGCGGCCUGUUAGCUAGUUGGCGGGGCAACGGCCCACCAAGGCGAUUAUGGGUAGCUGGGUUGAGAGACCGACCAGCCAGAUUGGGACUGAGACACGGCCCAGACUCCUACGGGAGGCAGCAGUGGGGAAUCUUGCGCAAUGGGGGCAACCCUGACGCAGCGACGCCGCGUGCGGGACGAAGGCCUUCGGGUCGUAAACCGCUUUCAGCAGGGACGAGGCCGAAAGGUGACGGUACCUGCAGAAGAAGCCCCGGCUAACUACGUGCCAGCAGCCGCGGUAAUACGUAGGGGGCGAGCGUUAUCCGGAUUCAUUGGGCGUAAAGCGCUCGUAGGCUGCCCGCUAGGUCCGGGGUCAAAUCCGGGGGCUCAACCCCCGCACGCCCCGGAUACCGGCGGGCUUGAGUCGGGUAGGGGAAGGCGGAAUUCCAGGUGUAGCGGUGGAAUGCGCAGAUAUCUGGAAGAACACCGGUGGCGAAGGCGGCCUUCUGGGCCUCGACUGACGCUGAGGAGCGAAAGCUGGGGGAGCGAACAGGAUUAGAUACCCUGGUAGUCCCAGCCGUAAACGAUGGACGCUAGGUGUGGGGGGAGAUGCCCUCCGUGCCGCAGCCAACGCAUUAAGCGUCCCGCCUGGGGAGUACGGUCGCAAGAUUAAAACUCAAAGGAAUUGACGGGGACCCGCACAAGCGGUGGAUGAUGUGGAUUAAUUCGAUGCAACGCGAAGAACCUUACCUGGUCUUGACAUGUACAGAACCCUCCAGAGACGGAGGGGUGCCUUCGGGAGCCGUAACACAGGUGCUGCAUGGCUGUCGUCAGCUCGUGUCGUGAGAUGUUGGGUUAAGUCCCGCAACGAGCGCAACCCUUGUCAUUAGUUGCCAUCAUUAAGUUGGGCACUCUAAUGAGACUGCCGGUGACAAGCCGGAGGAAGGUGGGGAUGACGUCAAGUCCUCAUGGCCCUUAUGACCAGGGCUUCACACGUCAUACAAUGGUCGGUACAGAGGGUAGCCAAGCCGCGAGGCGGAGCCAAUCUCACAAAACCGAUCGUAGCCCGGAUUGCACUCUGCAACUCGAGUGCAUGAAGUCGGAAUCGCUAGUAAUCGCAGGUCAGCAUACUGCGGUGAAUACGUUCCCGGGUCU